This 1222-nucleotide long non-coding RNA is filed under the name Parus major (Great Tit). RNAcentral's name for it is "lncRNA (ENSPMJG00000003938.1)". The record is from RNAcentral. Lineage: Eukaryota; Metazoa; Chordata; Aves; Passeriformes; Paridae.
GUCAAUGCAUUUUGAAGCAGAUGGAGCAGUAAUUCAUGAAAAAUAGUGUUUAGGAAAGAAAAGGGAAAAAGGGGGAACACCACAGCUGCCAGAUCCCAGACUUGACACCCCUCCUCUGUGCAUUUCCUGAUUCUUCCUCCAUCUAAUGGAUCAAAUAUUUGAAAUGAUUUGGAAUCUGAAGUGUGGACGUGCAGAACUUUUUGGGACAGAUGUGUUAGUGACAGGAUGAAGCUGUGAGGGACAAACGAUGGGUGCAGCACUCUCUGUCUUCGUGGGAAGGCUGGGUGGGACAGGCACCUCAAGGAGCAGUUUUAAGGAAGCUCUGCAGAACCAUGUCCUGAGAGUACAGAGCACCUGCAGACACCACCAGCUGUGCUUCUCCUGGCUUUGGCAGGGAACUGCUCCUGGAUUCCACAGGCACCUCAUAGAGCCAAGACAUUGUAAAGGACCCAGGCACUUCCCAUUAAAAUCAUGGAUGCUCCCAGAUUUUCCUGGAGAAUUAAAGGCUUCCAGCAGCACAGGAGUGAUGAAUGUCUGUUUGUGAGAGCCCCAUUUCCAGGAGGUCUGUGCUGCAGGAACACUAACACCCAUACUUGGGUAGAAAAAGGAUGCCCAUGCCAUGUCCUUUGAUCCUUCUUCACUGUUUCUCCUCAUUUCUGGUUAUAUUCUUCUCUAAAGAUAAUUCCAGUUGUUGUUGGAUUGGUUUUAUUUGCCCCAAAGUACUUAAGUCAAUAUCCAGUUGACUGGCAGUGUUAUCUUAUUUUCUUUAAGAACUUCUCAUGUUGUCACCUCAAUUGUUAGGACUUCACCUUCCUCCUCUGGUGGCUGCAAAGCCCUGCUGGAUGGGGAUAUUCACCCAAAAAUCAGGCUCUGAGGGAGAAGGGAAGGCAUUUCAUCAUCCACCAUUUAAUAAUUUUGGUACCAAUACAAAUGUGACUGCAUGAAACACUUCAAAUCCCAGUGCCCUGAUCUUGCAGGGGCUGCUGCCUCAUGCUGGAUUUCACACCUGGAAAAGCUUCUGGAGAUUUUUAUUUGUCUCCAGAUAAAAAUCUGCGUUGCUGUCCAAUGUGUAAGUACAAGAGCACUGUCAUGGACAGGCAGUGUGUGUUGUGAUACAUGGCUGUGGGGUGGUGGGAGCAGUUCCUUUUCCAGCUCUCUGUGAUCCCUGGGAGCAGGGAUGUUUUCCAUGCUCCAUGUGCUCCUGGGCCCAGGCAGUGCCAGA